UACGUAGGGUGCAAGCGUUAAUCGGAAUUACUGGGCGUAAAGCGUGCGCAGGCGGCUUUGCAAGACAGACGUGAAAUCCCUCGGCUUAACCGGGGAACUGCGUCUGAUACUGGAUGGCUUGAGAUUGGGAGAGGGAUGCGGAAUUCCAGGUGUAGCGGUGAAAUGCGUAGAUAUCUGGAGGAACACCGGUGGCGAAGGCGGCAUCCUGGACCAACACUGACGCUGAGGAGCGAAAGCCAGGGGAGCAAACGGG
Molecule: ribosomal RNA, 253 nt
Filed under: uncultured bacterium
Lineage: Bacteria
Description: partial 16S ribosomal RNA
Rfam family: Bacterial small subunit ribosomal RNA
Source: RNAcentral